CCCACGUAGGUUGCAUGGCAGCCGCGGCGCGAGCGAAUAGAACUCCAUGGAUGUGUUGGAAUUAAGCGCCGGGAGCAUUUGGUGAUGUUUGGGGGAGGAAGGCACAAGCCACCAAGGCCCUAUUCCCUCCAUCUUGAGCCUUCCAUGGUGAUAUGCAGCAGCACAGGAAAGUAUGAAGCACUGAGGCACAGAAGUCAGUAUUUAAACUUAACUUUGCUUCAACGUAAAUGACCAUGCAAGUUUCAGAUUAACUAAAGGAGGACCAGGGGUAGAAUAGCAGAAGUACGUAAGGUGCCUCUUUUAAAAGUUCUGUUUUGCAUAUCUAAAGAUUAGGGAGAUGUUUAGAAAAGUGAUUAUACACAUGUGCUUAUGUUUACUGUCCUAACAGGAGAUGAUGAUCCGCAUUAUCUUAAAUGCUAGAUAUGUCUUGGAUGCAUCUGUGUCACCUCAUUGAUUUCAGGGGAACUGUAUUGAUUUAAGUUAGUGAAGGCACUAACCCAGCUAAGUUUUAAAUAAUUAGAAUAGUAUUCUCCCUCUUUUUCAGUCAGAUUUGCCCUUCAUGUUACUUGUGUUUCAUAAUCCUCCUAGCUCUCCAUUUUGUCAUUACAAGACCAGCAUCUCUGCUGUAGGGGAAAAAAAAAAAAAGAGAGAGAGAGGACACCCCCCCACCUCCCUCCCAAAGAUAGUCUUUUAACAAUCUGCUCUUUAUAUUAAUGUUUAAAUAAAUUUAGGACACCAAUGAACCGGUUUUUUUAAUAGGCCCAUUUAGUUUCAGUUUCUUACACAGUUAUUUUUUAGAGCCAGAAGCUCUCAGGAAGAGAAUGUGUUCGAUGCACCAGAACCCUUUAGGGUUUUGAUAAAAGACAUGAUAUCAUGAGUACCAUCUCCACUUCUGUUAUUUUUCUUAUAUAGUAGCAACAAGAUUGAAUCACCAUUUUUAGCUAUUCUUCGGCAGAACUCAUAAUCUAUCAAUGUGUCAGCUCAACAGCAGUUUUCUCUUCGCACUAAUGUGAACCAGAAGGUCCAGCUAUCACUGAUUUUGACAAUUUUAUUUUAUCUGAGAUCGCAUGUAUUGCAGAAGUUUGAAGCGAAUGAAUUAUAGGGCCUAUUAUAUUUUCCUAAAGAUGUGCAGAACGUAAAAUAUGUCAUCUAAAACAUUUCAAACUAAUUUGUAUCAGAUAACAUUCCUAUGUUAGGUGCUUCAUAAGCCUUACGCUAUAAGCACUAUUAAAUAUUUGUGUGAUAAAUAACAAGUAUAAGAUCAAAUGUGGGUUCCGUAUUUUUUUUAAUGCCUCAGAGUGCCCUCUGUGUUGUUACAUAAUGCAUCAUAAAGAAAUACGUGCCUUCAUUCUCUUAAAAUCACUCCGGCAUGGAUAGUACUAAGCUUUCCUUCCAGUCCUCGUUAUGCAAGUCCUCGCUACUGCUAAUAGCUGUCAGCUCUGCAUGGUUACUUAAAAAACAAGGUAACUGCAGACUUUUUGUGAAGCUCCUUGCAUUUCUGGAAUUUACAGUGAGUUGAUUCCAGGUGCGUUGCUCCUUUUCCCAGCUUUAAAAUAAAUUAUUACGAACAAGCAGAUUUUCCCCCAUCAGAAGAAAGUCCCACUCAUUCCAGUAUAUCACACGGUAGUCUGUUUUUUUGUUUAGGUGCGUCUAUAAGCAUUUUAUAUUAUGAGUAUCUGAAUGCACUUCAGUGUCAAAACACAGUGGAAUAGACCAGAAUGCAGUAAUAUUUUGAAAGUCUGUUGGAAAAUGCAGGCAUAUAACUAAGUACUGAAAGAAUACGUAGCACAGUAAAAAAUCCAUGACCAAUCUAGCAAAGCUAUUAGGUAACAAAAAAAAAUCCAUAUAGGCAUUAAGUACUAUUAUUUAAAGUAAAAUCUCUGUUAUAAGCAGCAUUCAAGUGAAAUUGAUGAGACAUCUAUAUAGAACAGAAAGAAUUCUUUUUGUACAGCCAUGAUGCAACCUUCUGUAUUUCUUUACUUAGGAAACAGAAUUUUACUUGUCUUUUUGUAAAACUGUAAAAUUAACAGCAAGCUCUUCAGAGAAUUAGGAACACUGCCUGACUUGUGAGAUUUUUUUUUUCCUCUGUGAAACACAGAGAUCAUUGGUGGCAAAAAAUCAGGAGAAACCUGUCUGGAUUUUCCAGUGUCAUGUAGAUCUUUUUGAGUGCCCUGUCCUUUAAGAAGGCCUCGGUUUUAAAGGUAUUGACAUGGAAAUAUGUCAAAAUUUGUCAUCUUGACUAUAUACAGAAAAAUCUUGCUCUCCAUUAUACCAGUAGAAGUAUACAAGUAGUAACUCAGUGAUGUGUCACCAGGAAAGGAGGGUUGGUUUCAUAUUCCAUUGAUAGAUUUAUUAGUUUAACAAUCCUCUAUUGCAUUUCUAAAUUUUUUUAAUCUUUUUGUUGCUCUCGUAAAUUUGAGGCACUAGCUUAUUUGUUUAUUUCCAUUUUCUUACUUGUAAUAAUUUUGAAAGGUUCAACUAUAUUCUGUUCGGAUUUUAUGACACAUGGAAGAUAUUUUUUUUAAAUUCCUUUUGCAAGCAGUGGGUUGGUGGGAGGAGGUCUACACUGUAACACAGUAUACCUAUGAAAUUGUUCUCGAGAUAAAAUAAGAAAGAGCAGAAUUACAGAAACAAGUAAUUUGUCGCUGAUAUUCAUGCAGUGCUGGUAUUUUAUUUCAAGCUGGAUUCGUCAAACACGAUAAGGAGUAAUUUCUGUCUGAUAUGAAGUUCCCAUCUAAGGAGACUAAGUGGUUUAAGUUUAAACUGUGGUUUGAAAAUACAGGGAAAUGUUACUGGACAUUUGAGAGUUUGAUUAGGUAGCCAAAGAGGACGCAAGGAAGUAAAUUGGAGAAUGCUUUUUUUUGUAGUGUUUGAAAUAUGUCAGGAAAACACAUCACUAAUACAUUUCUGUGGAGCAGUUACUUUACCUGCAAGAUGGUUUUGCCUAUGAAGCACAAAGAUUUUACCACAAGCGUCUGAAUUAUGUAGGUUAUAAAGGGUUCUGAUGCUGUCGGAAAGCAAGCAUGAAAUGUUGAUGUGUGACCCUCAGAUAUUUGAGCGACAUUUACUGACCGCUUUUGCAGUAUUUUGUAGGUUCGUAACAUAGUUUUAGUAAUAAAAAUUUAGUGAAAAUGUAUGAGGUGAGCACUGGUGUAAUACUGAUUAGAGGUUUUUUAGAUGGGCCAGUUACCAUAUUUAGUAAAGUAGAAUAAAAAUGAGAUGGCCUGGGACUAAGAUUACUUUAAAAGGGAGAUUUUUUAAAAAAUUAGUAUUGGACUUAUUCUUAGUUAGUAUUAAUUGCUAUUUUUUUAAUACAGUUUUCUCUUUUGUUAAGUUCCAUCAUUUUUUGUUCCGAAAUACCGUCCCGGCACCGAAAGGGGGAAAUAUAAUGGCUACAAUUAGCUUCUGUUUACUGGAGCAAAAUGAUUUUUUCCCAAACCUAAAUACAUGCAUUAAUUUGCUAGACUUCCAGCUAUUUUUACGUGUGGUAUUUCUGAGAAACAGAUACCGAUGUCCAUUUUAAUGCAGCUUACUAUAGUGUAGCAGCCGAAAUCGAGCGUUUUUUCUCUUUGGUAGUCAGAUAUACAGAAUUGUUGGACUGUUUACUUGUAAGUACCUUAAAGCUGAAUCGGAAAAAACAUAUUUUUGAUACAAAAAGUUAGGCUUUCCAGUCUUUACUUACUUUUGAGUUUUCUAGGUAAAUGCUGCAUAGACUGAUUAUCAGAAAAAUCGAGGCUUACAUAAUCAAGCCAUUCAUUUUUCUGCUGCCUCCCUUCCCCCACUUAGCUUUCAUUUUACUAAGAAAAAUGAAAAAUUUUGAGAAGAAACUUACUAUGACAUACUGAUUAUAUACACAUUUUCAUGAGACUGCAUAGCUAAGCUAUUUGUAUGUAUUUAGUAAAAGAAAGCAGCAGGCGAAGUAUUAAAACCUUGAGCUGGCUAAACUUUAAAAUUAUAGUAAAUAAAUACAGCAUUAUCUAAUAUGCUGUACCUAACUGUGUAGCAAUGAGUCUUUUUUCUUUGCAUGGGGAAUUAGAGUACUUCUAUGUUGUCUUUAUUCAGAAUAAGAAAAAUAAGAACGUCGUACCCCAUUUUUUUUAUUCGUUGUAAAGCUGAUGUUCUUUCCUAAGGGAGUUGGUUCAAUACCCAACUUUCAGAGGAUGAGUAGUGAUUGUUAUUGACAAAAUAUAUAUCAAAUGAAUCAAAACUCUGUCCUGCUAGAUAAUUACAAAUUGAAUUAACUAAAAGGAAUAAUAUUAAAUUUUUAUCUAAAUAUGUUAACAUGAGCUCUUACCCAUAGGUGGCAGUCAUCUUUCACAGUAGCAGGGAUGCCAAACUUUUGGUUCGUGGUAUUCAUACUUAUGCUGAAAUAAUUUUGAUGAGGCUGGGAACACAAUUUCUCCUAUCCCAGCUGGAUAGCUGCUGGUUUUUUAUCUCCUGCUGCUGCCUCCUCCAGUUCUGUAUUAAUAGACAAGACAGAACAUCAACCCACAGCAAAGCAAAUGAAUAGAGAAGUCGUGGACAAAAAGGAGUAGUGGACACUGACAUUGGACAGCAUCUUGGGAUAGCAUUGAGUGUACAUCCAAAAAAAAAAGUGAGGAAGCCAUUGAAUCAAUAAAUGUCAUUACAAUUUUUGUCCUUUAGGUUUCUGAUAAAAACUUUCUGUGCCUGUGACACAGAAAGAGUCAUUCUAGGUCACUCUCAGUCACAGGUGAGAUAGUUGUAGCUUCUGAAAACCCACAGGAGCCGUGCUAAAAGAAACAAACUUGGAAGACUCAUCUAUGGCUUAACAACACAAAGUAUUUUCACUUAUGCAGGUUCAUGGAUUCUAGAAUAAAUAAGACUUACAUUCUUCUUGACUACUCUGGGGACUAUAUGUAUGGUAUGGCAUGUUCCCUGAGUUACUGCAAAAGAAAGAGUCCAGCUCUAUACUGGAGAGCCCAUCUCGACCUGUACUGCCAUACUUCUCCUAUUUUUGUAUUCUUAAAUGAUCCAUCAAUUGAUAAUUUCAAGUGAGAAUUUUGCAUUACAGAGAUUUCUUUGUAAAAGUACAUUUAAAACACCAGGUGAUUUACGUUAGCUACAGUGUGAUGGGUUGGGGUAAUAAAGACAUAAGGUUUUUGUAAGUAUAUUGAAGCUGUUAGAGAAUAAAGCUUGGUUAUAAUAUGAUCCAGUCGGUUCUGUUAUGCCUUCUUACACAGUAUUUGUAAGUGAAUUAGCAAAAUGGUUUGUGAAGAUUCCUCUUGAGCAUUUGUUCACUCUUGUUAAAGUGAUACCGAGAGGUCUCCUUGUAAUUUUUAAUCAUUCCCUAGCCCUCCAGUUGAAGAUAUCAGAUUUAUUUAUUGUAACUGAUAAUAAUGACGAGAAAAAUGAACUCUGAACCAGGGUUUGAUUAAAAAAAAAAGUGUUCAAAUCUGGAAAACUCUAGAUUACAAUAAGUCUAGAAAGACUAUACUAAAAAUUGCGAAGAAAAUUUAAUUUUAGUAACAUAGAAUAAUUUGGGUUGGAAGGGACCUCUGAAGCUCAUAUGGUACAACCCCCUGCUCAGAGCUGGACCAGGUUUUAUGCCGGGUUGUACAUUCAGUCUCCACAGUACCUUGUUCAACUGAGUUUGAAUAUCUAAAAAAAACUGAGAUUUUUUUUAUGUAUUCACUUGUGCAAAUAAUUUGCGAAGAAACAAUUUACUCCUGGUGUUUCAAAUAAGGGUUGUCUGACAGUGUAGGAAUUUUGUUUUCAAUUGCAAAAUUUUGUUUACCUUUAAAAUUCCUUGACACAGCUGAAGAACAAAAAGAAAUAAAAAAAAAAUCAUUUGUAAUCCUGAAGAAAUAAAAGCAUAGAAAAAGUCAAAUCUCAUCAUUAUUUGUAAGACAAAAUUGAGGUUAUGAUGACACUCUUAACUGUGAAAAAUGGAUUUCUAAGUAUGAAUUUAGA
This is a long non-coding RNA of Manacus vitellinus (golden-collared manakin), 5931 nucleotides long. RefSeq lists it as uncharacterized. The record is from RefSeq and is a predicted model, not a curated record. NCBI's taxonomy places the organism in Eukaryota, Metazoa, Chordata, Aves, Passeriformes, Pipridae. The transcript has 3 exons.